GGGCCGGUAGCUCAGUUGGUAGAGCACGGCACUUUUAAUGCUGGGGUCGCGGGUUCAAAUCCCGCCCGGCUCACCA
RNAcentral lists this transfer RNA (76 nucleotides) under Verrucomicrobiota bacterium. RNAcentral describes it as "Verrucomicrobia bacterium (groundwater metagenome) tRNA-Lys". It matches the Rfam family "tRNA". From Rfam's summary of the family: Transfer RNA (tRNA) molecules are approximately 80 nucleotides in length. Their secondary structure includes four short double-helical elements and three loops (D, anti-codon, and T loops). Lineage: Bacteria; Pseudomonadati; Verrucomicrobiota. The record is from RNAcentral. RNAcentral also lists the same sequence under 2 other names.